Molecule: long non-coding RNA, 1003 nt
Filed under: Monodelphis domestica (gray short-tailed opossum)
Lineage: Eukaryota; Metazoa; Chordata; Mammalia; Didelphimorphia; Didelphidae
Description: lncRNA (ENSMODG00000041832.1)
Source: RNAcentral
GCUAGGCAAUGGGGGUUAAGUGACUUGCCCAAGGUCACACAGCUCGGAAGUGUCUGAGGCCAGAUUUGAACCCAGCACAGUAUUGAUUCUAAGAUGGAAGGUAAGGGAUUUUUUUUUUUUUAAAGAAUGCAUUAAAGCAAUGCUAUUCCAAUGAGAAUGGGCAAUUAGUAGCACAGUGGAUAGAGGGCCCAGUUUGGAGUCAGGAAGACUCAUGCUCCUUAGUUCAAAUCUUACCUCAGACAUUUAUUAGCCGUAUGACCCUGAGCAAGUCAUUUAACCCUGUUUGCCUCAGUUUUCUCUUCUUGUCAAAUGAACUGGAGAAGGAAAGGGCAAACCAUUCCAGGAUCUUUGCCAAGAAAACCACAAAUGGAGAUGCAAAGUGUCAGACUCAAAAAUGACUGAACAACAAGAGUAUUCCAAUGAGAACCAAGUAAGACAUGCCAUUUUAUGGCAUUCAAUAUCCUUUCAGUGUUUGUCCUGGGGUGUCUGUCAUGUCUGAGUUUGCCAAAAGUUCAGUCCCACCACUGCAAGGAAAAGAAAGCCUGGCAAAUCGUAGUGUUGAUUCUGCUCCAGAAUGGGCUAAAGCAAUUGAAAAUCAUCAGGGCUGCUGAAAGAAUGGAAGAACCUCUAUGUGAAAGCUCUUUCAAUACUACACAUCCAGCAAUAAGGUACAAUGAUCAGCUAUGGAUGAUGUAACUAUUAUCAGCAAUGAUCCAAGACAACUCCAAGGGACUCAUGAUGGAAAAGGCUAUCUUCCACCAUGGAAGCAAAUUAUGGAGUCUGAAUGCAGAUUGAAGCAGAUCAUUUUUCACUUUAUUUCCUUCAUGGGGUUUUUGUUUCCCUUGUAUAAAUGAUAUUUGUAUCCUUUCGCAACAGGAUGAACAUGAAAAUGUGUGGUAUGAUUGUAUGCAUAUAAUCUAUAUCAUGUUAUCUGCUUCUUGGGGGAGAAGGAUAGAAGGGAGGGAGAGAGAGAACAUGGAUUAAAAAAUGUCUGAAAAUCAUG